This 253-nucleotide ribosomal RNA is filed under the name uncultured bacterium. Its description in RNAcentral is "partial 16S ribosomal RNA". It matches the Rfam family "Bacterial small subunit ribosomal RNA", at positions 524 to 776 of the family's 1533-position model. The record is from RNAcentral.
UACGUAGGUGGCAAGCGUUGUCCGGAAUUAUUGGGCGUAAAGCGCGCGCAGGCGGUCCCUUAAGUCUGAUGUGAAAGCCCCCGGCUUAACCGGGGAGGGUCAUUGGAAACUGGGGGACUUGAGUGCAGAAGAGAAGAGCGGAAUUCCAUGUGUAGCGGUGAAAUGCGCAGAGAUAUGGAGGAACACCAGUGGCGAAGGCGGCUCUUUGGUCUGUAACUGACGCUGAGGCGCGAAAGCGUGGGGAGCAAACAGG